Molecule: RNA transcript, 1319 nt
Organism: Zea mays
Lineage: Eukaryota; Viridiplantae; Streptophyta; Magnoliopsida; Poales; Poaceae
Gene name: GATA transcription factor 25
Exons: 8
Source: RefSeq, marked provisional
AUCACCACACGUUAUUGCACGAGCAGGGACCCAGUUACACCACUACAGGUCUACAGCUCCCGCCCAGCAUCAUGGCCUUCCAUUCCCCAAUCUAGGGUUGCUGAGCUCCCCACCACUGCCGGCCAUGCCCGACGCGGAUGUUGACACCGUGAUUCGCGAAGCCGCCGCGGCCGCGGCCCCAGCCGGCGACGACGACAGCGAGGGUGACACCGAGGAGGAGGAGGAGGAGGGGGACGAGGUCGACGAGGACGAGGACGACGACGAGGAGUUACCCGCCGAGGCGCCGGCGCCGGACGAGGAGCAACCUGCUCCAGCGCCCAUCUCGACCUUGCCGGGGAAUCCAAACCAGCUGACGCUGGUCUUCCAGGGCGAGGUUUACGUUUUCGAAUCCGUCACCCCCGAGAAGGUUCAAGCUGUGCUGCUACUUUUAGGACGUGGUGAACUACCACCUGGUUUAGCUGGCAUGGUUUUACCCAAUCAAAAUGAAAACAAGGGCUAUGACGAUAUACUUCAGAGGACAGACAUUCCAGCAAAAAGGGUUGCUUCACUAAUUAGGUUCCGUGAGAAAAGGAAGGAAAGAAAUUUUGAUAAGAAAAUACGUUAUGCUGUUCGCAAAGAAGUGGCACUCAGGAUGCAGCGUCGGAAGGGGCAAUUUGCUGGAAGAGCCAGUCUGGAGGGAGAAUCUCCAGCUCCUGGAUGUGAUCCUGGUUCUCAGGGCUCAGGCCUAGAUUUUGCAUCUCGAGAAUCAAUGUGCCAGAACUGUGGUACUAGUGAAAAAAUGACCCCAGCAAUGCGUCGUGGUCCAGCGGGUCCAAGGACUUUGUGCAAUGCUUGUGGAUUGAUGUGGGCAAACAAGGGUACCCUGAGAAGUUGCCCCAGGGCAAAAGUUGAAUCUCCUGCGGUUGCAACUGAGCAGCAAUGCUGUCUUUUCUCAGGGAACAAGUGACAACAAAGCCCUGGCAACACUGAAUAAUAACAAUGUUGCUGCAAGCAAUGGCGAAGCCACAAGUGCAGCAGAGAAAGGAGUGCCAAAGGCGCCGUGACAGUAUAUAGACAUUAUUGUCAGAGACAAAGAUUUCGGAUUCUUUGCCUAUAGCUAGACAAGACACCCCGUUAGAAAUAUUUGGUAAUGAUAAUGAUUGUCAUCAAGUGUACAUUCAUUCUUGCUUGACAGUGUUAGACGUGUAAUUAAUAUAAGCUGUCCGAUUGUGUAAACAGUAAACCCAUAUGGCAUCUGUUGUGUUACAACUUACACUUUCUAACUUUCUUCAUUCUCAUAACAUCAUGAUCAAAGAUUCGAUGCUACCCAUUGAUUGUCA